GAUGAACGCUGGCGGCGUGCCUAAUACAUGCAAGUCGAGCGAACAGACGAGGAGCUUGCUCCUCUGACGUUAGCGGCGGACGGGUGAGUAACACGUGGAUAACCUACCUAUAAGACUGGGAUAACUUCGGGAAACCGGAGCUAAUACCGGAUAAUAUAUUGAACCGCAUGGUUCAAUAGUGAAAGACGGUUUUGCUGUCACUUAUAGAUGUAUCCGCGCCGCAUUAGCUAGUUGGUAAGGUAACGGCUUACCAAGGCAACGAUGCGUAGCCGACCUGAGAGGGUGAUCGGCCACACUGGAACUGAGACACGGUCCAGACUCCUACGGGAGGCAGCAGUAGGGAAUCUUCCGCAAAGGGCGAAAGCCUGACGGAGCAACGCCGCGUGAGUGAUGAAGGUCUUCGGAUCGUAAAACUCUGUUAUUAGGGAAGAACAAAUGUGUAAGUAACUAUGCACGUCUUGACGGUACCUAAUCAGAAAGCCACGGCUAACUACGUG
This 497-nucleotide ribosomal RNA is filed under the name uncultured bacterium. RNAcentral describes it as "partial 16S ribosomal RNA". It matches the Rfam family "Bacterial small subunit ribosomal RNA", at positions 28 to 507 of the family's 1533-position model. The record is from RNAcentral.